This 546-nucleotide ribosomal RNA is filed under the name uncultured soil bacterium. Its description in RNAcentral is "bacterial SSU rRNA". It matches the Rfam family "Bacterial small subunit ribosomal RNA", at positions 942 to 1489 of the family's 1533-position model. The record is from RNAcentral.
UGGUUUAAUUCGAUGCAACGCGAAGAACCUUACCUGGGUUUGACAUCCCCAGACAGCCCUAGAGAUAGGGUUUCCCCUUCGGGGGCUGGGAGACAGGUGCUGCAUGGCUGUCGUCAGCUCGUAUCGUGAGAUGUCGGGCUAAGUCCCUUAACGAGCGCAACCCUUAUCCCUAGUUGCCAUCAUUUAGUUGGGCACUCUAUGGAGACUGCCGGUGUUAAACCGGAGGAAGGCGGGGAUGACGUCAAGUCCUCAUGGCCUUUAUAUCCAGGGGUACACACGUGCUACAAUGGCCGGUACAAAGGGUUGCCAACCCGCGAGGGGGAGCUAAUCUCAUAAAGCCGGUCUCAGUUCGGAUUGAAGUCUGCAAUUUGACUUCAUGAAGCUGGAAUCGCUAGUAAUCGCAGAUCAGCACGCUGCGGUGAAUUCGUUCCCGGGCCUUGUACACACCGCCCGUCACACCACGAAAGUUGACUGCACCAGAAGUCGCUGUCCUAACCGUAAGGAGGGAGGCGCCCAAGGUGCGGCCGAUGAUUGGGGUGAAGUCGU